Molecule: long non-coding RNA, 279 nt
Filed under: Homo sapiens (human)
Lineage: Eukaryota; Metazoa; Chordata; Mammalia; Primates; Hominidae
Description: HSALNT0374495
Source: RNAcentral
GAAGAUGUGACUGCUUCCCCUUCACCUUCCACCAUGAUUGCAAUUGUCUCAAUCAAGAUUGAACUUGGUCUCAAGUGUCCUGAAUCCAGUGAUUAUCUAAUCUGUGAUACAAAGACUAACUACCUUGCCUCCAUUUUGAGAAACCCGGAAGUGCUGCUAUUUUAGUUCCAGAGCUUCUCACAGGAAGGCUUAAGAUCUAAGAAGUUGAGCCACCUCAGCCUGGUUCAGAAGCCUUGCUGGAAAGAUGAUUGCUGGAGAGGUGAUGCAAUCAUUUGGAAA